CAAAGGUGAGCCAGUACAGGAUGGACCCGCGUCUGAUUAGCUAGUUGGUAAGGUAACGGCUUACCAAGGCGACGAUCAGUAGCCGACCUGAGAGGGUGAUCGGCCACAUUGGAACUGAGACACGGUCCAAACUCCUACGGGAGGCAGCAGUGGGGAAUAUUGCACAAUGGGCGAAAGCCUGAUGCAGCAACGCCGCGUGAGUGAUGAAGGCCUUCGGGUCGUAAAACUCUGUCCUCAAGGAAGAUAAUGACGGUACUUGAGGAGGAAGCCCCGGCUAACUACGUGCCAGCAGCCGCGGUAAUACGUAGGGGGCUAGCGUUAUCCGGAUUUACUGGGCGUAAAGGGUGCGUAGGCGGUCUUUCAAGUCAGGAGUGAAAGGCUACGGCUCAACCGUAGUAAGCUCUUGAAACUGGGAGACUUGAGUGCAGGAGAGGAGAGUGGAAUUCCUAGUGUAGCGGUGAAAUGCGUAGAUAUUAGGAGGAACACCAGUUGCGAAGGCGGCUCUCUGGACUGUAACUGACGCUGAGGCACGAAAGCGUGGGGAGCAAACAGGAUUAGAUACCCUGGUAGUCCACGCUGUAAACGAUGAGUACUAGGUGUUGGGGGUUACCCCCUUCG
Molecule: ribosomal RNA, 618 nt
Filed under: uncultured bacterium
Lineage: Bacteria
Description: bacterial SSU rRNA
Rfam family: Bacterial small subunit ribosomal RNA
Source: RNAcentral